GAUGAACGCUGGCGGCGUGCCUAAUACAUGCAAGUCGAGCGAACAGACGAGGAGCUUGCUCCUCUGACGUUAGCGGCUGACGGGUGAGUAACACGUGGAUAACCUACCUCUAAUACUUGGAUAACUUCGUGAAACCGGAGCUACUACCGGCUAAUAUAUUGAACCGCAUGGUUCAAUAGUGCAUGACGGUUUUGCUGUCACUUAUAGAUGGAUCCGCGCCGCAUUAGCUAGUUGGUAAGGUACCGGCUUACCAAGGCAACGAUGCGUAGCCGACCUGAGAGGGUGAUCAGCCACACUGGAACUGAGACACGGUCCAGACUCCUACGGGAGGCAGCAGUAGGGAAUAUUGCGCAAUGGGCGAAAGCCUGACGGAGCAACGCCGCGUGAGUGAAGAAGGUCUUCGGAUCGUAAAACUCUGUUAUUAGGGAAGAAAAAAUGUGGAAGUAACUAUGGACGUCUUGACGGUACCUAAACAGAAAGCAACGGCUAACUACGUG
RNAcentral lists this ribosomal RNA (497 nucleotides) under uncultured bacterium. RNAcentral's name for it is "partial 16S ribosomal RNA". It matches the Rfam family "Bacterial small subunit ribosomal RNA", at positions 28 to 507 of the family's 1533-position model. The record is from RNAcentral.